RNAcentral lists this long non-coding RNA (1323 nucleotides) under Triticum aestivum (bread wheat). RNAcentral's name for it is "long non-coding RNA (TAES_LNC003625)". Lineage: Eukaryota; Viridiplantae; Streptophyta; Magnoliopsida; Poales; Poaceae. The record is from RNAcentral.
GAGUACUCAACCAAGUCAUACAACAAAUAAUCAUAUUUCUAUAUGGCAGUAAAUCCAUGGAAGCAGAUAACACAAUAACUGGGUGCUGCGAGGCUUCGCAUAGAGGAGGUCUUAUACCAUACUGUCCUCCAGCUCCACCAUGCACAUCUCUACAUCUUAUAAUUGAUGCUCGCUUCCCACAUAAUUGUAAACUUGUCUUAUAUUCAAUUCUUUAUCAACAACAACAUUCAAGGUCCAUUCAUAUGAAGCUUACUGCUAGUCUACUAUAAGAGCGUACUCAAUAGAUCCUCGUCCCCUGCCGUGUGCUAGCCUACCUUUGAGACACAGAGCACGGGCUCACCUGUCAGUGACUCAAAGGCAGAGUAUGGCAGGGGUUUCUAAGUCAGAGAAUCCACCUCCCAUAGGCGUCGAGGCCACCAAGCCCAACAUUGACUGCUGCUCCUCCCUUUCUUCCUCUACUAUUUUUUCUGAAUGGCCUUUCUUCUUGUAUUCAUUCUCUCAACUCCAUGCUUUCCUGAUCAUCCUCUUCCUCUUAUCACCAGCUAGGCAUUUAACUAAACAAGGUAAAUGGGGAAAGGUACAUUCUACAAACCAUGUCAAUGAGAUCUACAUAGAUCGAUUGAUCAAAUAGUGAAAAUCUGAGAAAUCUAAAUCUGAACUAACCAAAAAAAAAAAGCAAGCCAUCUUCGGGCUAUCUAACUGUACCCACAUGUCUGCUCCAAAGAUUUGGUUAUGGAAAGAAAAGGGAGUACAGUGGAGUUGGGUUGAUGCCUAAUGAACGACCAAUCGCUCAAGCUACUCCAGCUUCCCGCCUCCCAGCUUGAAUUGAUGCUGCCACUAUGGCCAGCAAGCAUCCGCCACCAAGAUUCAUGCAUUUCAGCUUCACGUACACCAACAUGCCCUGCCGCUCAUCCUGCCGUCUACAUGCCCUUGCAGGUUCUGUGCACCGGGAGAAGAAAAAUCAAUGAAAAAUAGAAAGACCAGAUGUUAUAAGCAAUGACAGAUGACACACAUCAAGGGACUUAUUUGUGAAGGACCGAGCUAACAACAUUCAUAUAUUGUUUUAAAGCUUGGGGCUUCCCGUGAAUGGCAACACUCAUUUAGUUCUGCACCAGUCAAUGUAAAAAAUUCAGGAGCAGCAUCAAAGAUCAACCAAAAUGUUACAAAAUAAUUUAAAAACACAGGGCCCAAAUCUGGAAUGGUCAUUGUGAAUUGGCUCAGAGAAUGUGAACCAUAUAACCAGGAAAGUGCUAUACAUAAUAGUAUAAACGAAGAUUAUCACAAAAUUCAUCCCUGUCAACCUCUACCGACACAGUUGUGCCC